CAUCCAGAGAAGCACUCAAUAAGUGCUUCAAGUAUAUCCAUUUUCUCUUCAUUUAUUUUAUUAUUCAGUCAGCAAACAUUUAUUAAGUACCUAGUUAGGGACCAGACGACUUCCCAGGAUGGAGAACAAGUUGCAUCUUGUUGUAUAUAUAGAUUUGUUUAUAUAGCAUUUUCAGAGGAAAGUCAUACAAAUAAUUCAAGGAUUGGACCACAAGACCUAUGUGGACAGGUUGACUAACAGCCUGUUAGAGCCCAGAGAUGGCUCCUGUGACAGCCCUGAGAAGACGCGUGCAGACCUGCAACCAGAGAGAACACAACUGACCGAUGACCCCAGCUGCUGCACUCUGAAACCCAUUGCUGUUUGUGCAAAGGCCACACUUCCCAGUGGCCACUCCAAGUCAAUGACCCAGUGCGGCCGGAUAUGAUGGCAGACCCAUUCCUGGGAGACACAGCACUCCCUGGACAGCUGACUUUGCCCCGAGGACUCUCUGCUCUUUGCUGAACCUUCCUCAGACUGUACAGCAGCCUAGCACUUCCACCCAACCUUCUCUCCCUCUCUCCUUCACUACUGCUCAGGCUUGCUCUCCCAGCCGUCCUUGGGUCCCUCCCUAUUUUUUC
RNAcentral lists this long non-coding RNA (617 nucleotides) under Equus caballus (horse). RNAcentral describes it as "lncRNA (ENSECAG00000045598.1)". The record is from RNAcentral. Lineage: Eukaryota; Metazoa; Chordata; Mammalia; Perissodactyla; Equidae.